AUUGAACGCUGGCGGCAUGCCUUACACAUGCAAGUCGAACGGCAGCACGGGAGCAAUCCUGGUGGCGAGUGGCGAACGGGUGAGUAAUGUAUCGGAACGUGCCCAGUCGUGGGGGAUAACGUAGCGAAAGCUACGCUAAUACCGCAUACGAUCUAUGGAUGAAAGCGGGGGAUCGCAAGACCUCGCGCGAUUGGAGCGGCCGAUAUCAGAUUAGGUAGUUGGUGGGGUAAAGGCUCACCAAGCCGACGAUCUGUAGCUGGUCUGAGAGGACGACCAGCCACACUGGGACUGAGACACGGCCCAGACUCCUACGGGAGGCAGCAGUGGGGAAUUUUGGACAAUGGGCGCAAGCCUGAUCCAGCAAUGCCGCGUGCAGGACGAAAGCCUUCGGGUUGUAAACUGCUUUUGUACGGAACGAAACGGCGAGCUCUAAUACAGUUUGCUAAUGACGGUACCGUAAGAAUAAGCACCGGCUAACUACGUGCCAGCCGCCGCAGUAA
This 500-nucleotide ribosomal RNA is filed under the name uncultured bacterium. RNAcentral's name for it is "partial 16S ribosomal RNA". It matches the Rfam family "Bacterial small subunit ribosomal RNA", at positions 30 to 523 of the family's 1533-position model. The record is from RNAcentral.